RNAcentral lists this long non-coding RNA (1459 nucleotides) under Heterocephalus glaber (naked mole-rat). RNAcentral describes it as "lncRNA (ENSHGLG00100052422.1)". Lineage: Eukaryota; Metazoa; Chordata; Mammalia; Rodentia; Bathyergidae. The record is from RNAcentral.
AUGUGGUACUUAUACACAAUGGAGUACUACUCUGCCAUAAAAAAGAUAAACUUGAGGCAUUUGUAGGUAAAUGGAUUCAACUUGAGAACAUAAUGUUAAGUGAAAUAAUUCUGGCACACAAGAUUAAGUAUCACACAGUUUCUCUUUUUUUUUUUUACCAGGGAUUGAACUCGGGACCUUGCGCUUGCGAGGCAGGCGGCGGAACCACUGAGCUAAAUCCCUGGCCCAAAUGUAGCUGGUACUUAAAAAAAAAAAAAAGUUACAGUGUUGCAGGGACCUGAGUUCGAUCCCCAGUACCAAAAAAAAAAGUUAUAGUGUUUAUAUAGUUUUCAUAUUUUGUUUCUUUUUGGUGCUAAGGAUUUAACCUAGGGCUGCAUAUAUGCUAAGCACAUGCUCUACCACUGAGCUACGUCCUGAGGCCCUGUUUUUAUGUUUUUAAAACAGAUGCCUUCUAGCCAAGCAUAGUGGUGCAAGCCUAUAAUCCCAGCACUUGGGAGGCUGAAGCAGGAGGAUUGCUGUGAAUUCAAAGCCAGCCUGAAUUAUACAGUGAGAUGCUGUCUCAAAAACAAAACUAAACCCCAGACACCUUCUAAAAUCAAGCAUGGUGGAUGUUACAUACACUUGUCCCAGGAUGGGGGACAGGUGAAUUUGCUUACAGUGAGUAGAAGUAUGAAAAAAUAAAAAAUAAAAAACCUGGCAUAAAGCUCUUCAAUAAUGUUACAUUUCCAGCCUUUGGAUCAGUCUUGGUUAUUGCAAGACUUCUGACUUCCUUAAUUUUUACAGUAGGAAAUCCUAUAUACUAAGAAAAACAAAAAGAAAGCCAGAAGACUGAAAUUCUCUUAAAAUCUAAUCAGAUAACAUCACACGUAUUUUGUAAGCAGCUUCAUUGAGGGAAAGCCUAUUUUCAGAGGAACCUACAAAGGUGAAGAUCAUGAUGUAAUAGCCUUGGGGAUAACCUAGAAUGAUUCUCAUGUCCUGAGAUUCUCCUCCCACGCCCAAUGGGAGACGAACUGAUCACCCAAGUGAGCGUGCGAACUUCUGAGGCCAGAUAAUAAAGGCCAUGCUCUUCGCAAUCUCUUGCUCUGCGGGAAGCCAGCUGCAUGGGUACAGGGACCCCAGAAGUCAGACCUAUGUGCAGAGGGCUCGUGGAAGCCUGCCAAGCACUGGCAGCCGAGGGAACCCCUCAGAGCCCUUGUGAGCCCUGAGAAGCGUCAGUGACCAGUCACAGCCAACUGAAGAUUGUGAGAAAAUCCAGCUGGCAUUAUCCAAAGAAGCUGAGCUGUAACACAUGUUUAUUAUUGUGGAGCCACAAAGGUUUGUGGUCAUUUCUUUUACAGCAUAGAUACCUGAUGUACAUGCUACUUUUUCUUUUUCCUAUUGGUGCUGGAAUUGAAUACAGGGCUUCAUGCAUACUAAGCACGUGCUCGACCACUGAGCUACACUCCCAGCCCCUACAUGC